This is an unclassified non-coding RNA of Amphiprion percula (orange clownfish), 69 nucleotides long. The record is from Ensembl. Lineage: Eukaryota; Metazoa; Chordata; Actinopteri; Pomacentridae.
UGCUUUACAUAGGUGGUAGACGCGGCUGGAGGCCAAGGUCAAGUUGAAAGUUGCUGUCUAGCCAUCCAG